UAGAAUAUGGUGUAAAGUGGUAGCACAAGGAAUUUUGAAUUCCUGAGAGUAGGUUCAAACCCUGCAAUUCUAG
This 73-nucleotide transfer RNA is filed under the name Miniopterus fuliginosus (Japanese long-fingered bat). Its description in RNAcentral is "tRNA-Gln". It matches the Rfam family "tRNA". From Rfam's summary of the family: Transfer RNA (tRNA) molecules are approximately 80 nucleotides in length. Lineage: Eukaryota; Metazoa; Chordata; Mammalia; Chiroptera; Miniopteridae. The record is from RNAcentral.